This 55-nucleotide non-coding RNA is filed under the name unclassified sequences. Its description in RNAcentral is "DUF3800-VI RNA". It matches the Rfam family "DUF3800-VI RNA". Rfam says of the family: Actinobacteria, Planctomycetes, Proteobacteria, Spirochaetes. The record is from RNAcentral.
UGGUUGAGAGGAUCGCCCUCUGCGGUCCGCCAAGGCAUUCGUCCUUGCUCGGCCA